GACGAACGCUGGCGGCGUGCUUAACACAUGCAAGUCGAACGGAAAGGCCCUUCUUGUUUCUGGUGCUCGAGUCGCGAGCGUGUGAGUAACACGAGCGUCACCUGACCUUGGCUUUAGGAUAGCUUCAGGUAACUUAGUCCAACACAGGAUAUGAGCUUCAGCUCCGUGGUGGGCAAGGGAUUGCUGUGGUGGAUGGGGGUGUGGCUGAUGAGUUUGAUGGUGGGGUAGUGGUUGUCCCAGGCCACGACGGGUAGCCGGCAUGAGAGGGAGACCGGCAACAAUGGGACUGAGAUACGGACCAGAGUGCUACGGGAGGCAGCAGUGGGAAAUAUUGCACAGUGGGCGCAAGCCUGAUGCAGCGACGCCGCGUGUGGGAUGACGGCCUUCGGGUUGUAAACCGCUUUCGGCUGUGACGAAGCGUAAGUGACGGUACCGGGAGAAGAAGCACCGGCUAACUACGUG
Molecule: ribosomal RNA, 462 nt
Filed under: uncultured bacterium
Lineage: Bacteria
Description: partial 16S ribosomal RNA
Rfam family: Bacterial small subunit ribosomal RNA
Source: RNAcentral